Molecule: long non-coding RNA, 2765 nt
Organism: Myxocyprinus asiaticus (Chinese sucker)
Lineage: Eukaryota; Metazoa; Chordata; Actinopteri; Cypriniformes; Catostomidae
Exons: 3
Source: RefSeq, a predicted model, not a curated record
AGUGUUUAGAAAGUAACUUAAAGUAAUUAGUAAUAUGAUUAAUUUUUCAAUGAAGUAAUCUGAUUGUAAUUUUAGAGAAUUAAUUUGUAAUUUGUAGUGGAUAAGUAACUUACCCAACACUGAUAAUGUAACCUGUUUGUGUUUGAGAUCGAAGAACGUGAACUUCGCUGAUCAAGUUUGCUGAACUUCAACUCCUUUGCACUAAAAAGACACACUGGGCUCCAUAACUCAUGUCCUGAGAGGCAGAAGGCUGACCACCACCCUCCCAGUUUUAAUUGAGCAGUGUCAUAGCCCGAGGUGGACUGGCUGUCAGGAGCACCGGGCGUUUUCCUGCUGGUAAUUUAGGCCGGCCCAUUGCUGCACAAGUACCGCCCCGUCCUACAGGCGAUAUAAGCGGCCACCCUGGGCUCCAACAUGGCUGCGCGGACCCAAUUACAGAGUGAAUAUUCACCAAACUUUGUAAGUUAGACAGGGGCUGGAGGUUGGGGGUAGAUAUCACUGACGGUCGCUCUCACCCCCCACACAGGGCACACCAGGUGAGAGAUGGAGAGAAAGAGAGAGUGAAAAGAGAGAAUGAGCGACUCACAGCUGUGGAGUUCUUUACAGGCAGGCGAGAGGGCCCUGCAGGCACAUCUCAUUAUUUGAAGGUCAUCCUUUUUCAUAAGAGUUAAACCCAGUGACAUGUUAAAGUCUGUCCCAACCAAUCUGCUGGACCACAAUUGAUGGUCAAGGGGAGUAAACAGCAGUCAGGUCAUAAUGAAAGCAAAAGGAACUGGGAUAGAAUUACAGCGUGGCAUCAUUAUUUUGUUAUUCACCAUUUUUAUCCAAUCUAUUAUUUGAAGGUUUUAUUUUUCAGUGAAGACAUUUUAAAGAGAUAGUCCACCCAAAAUGAAAAUUCUGUCAUCAAUUACUCACCCUCAUAUCAUUCAGAAUGUGUAUGACUUUACUUUCUUCCAUGGAACACAAAGGAUACAUUUUGGAGAAUGUUGAUGUUGUUCUUUCACAUACAAUGACAGAAAGUGGUGACUGAGGCUAACGCUGUUCCUUAAAUCUCCUUCUGUGUUCCGCAUAAGAAAGAAAGUCAUACAGGUUUGGAACAACAUGAGGGAGGGUAAAUAAUUACAGAAUUUUUAUUUUUAUUUUGUAAAGCCUUGGCUCAUUGUACUUUGAUAAACAUUAGAGUAUAUCAAGUCUCUUUUUGUUAUUUCUUAACCAGUUCAUGUUUUGUUAAAUUGAUAUAAUUAUGCAUAAAUAGUGUUGUCAUUUUAUUUUAUUUUUUUACAGGGAUUGAAGUUACCGAUGUUAAAAUCUCCCCUAUAAAUGAUAAAAUGAUGAAAAUGUAAAAUGUCUAUAUAUAAAUAAGAAACUGAAACAGAGGACAGUUGGAUCUUUACUCUUUUAUGGUUGCUCCACUGGGUCUAGGCAUGUAACCCAAUUAACUUAUAAUUGAUGCGCUUUGAAAAUUAAUUAACUCCAAAUCCAAAGGCUGGCUUAUAAUUAACUGUCUGCUUUACAUAAUGCAUUUAGGAAGGGGGUGCUGUUAUAGAUUGUGACUGAUGCACUAUGGUGAACCCAAAAGCCCACUGUUCAAGACUGCCUUCUAUGAAGUCAUAUGUCAGCAUGCAGGACACUGUACACUGAAUUAAUUUAGAAAUUUGUGAUUACUGGGCUUUUAUCAUGCAUAUAUCUGCAUAUGAGAAUGAAAUGCUGUAACCACAAAUGUCGUAUUGUAAUGAGGAUUUUAAGUAUGUGGUAAUUUCAAUAACGUGCUAAGCUUUUUUAGAGAAUCUGAGAUAUGCUGUAUAUAUAUUUUAUUUAUCCUGCUUUCACAGAAUAUAGCUACAGGUCUAGUGUUGUGAAAAGUCAAUGGCUGUAUUUUACAAUAUCAAACUGUUUUACAGUGGUUCAGGAAAAGCAAUACAUAUUUGUAAGUUUCUCUCAUAACAUAGAUUGCCGCCCAACAAAGUGUUUACUGGCAAUGAUUGCUUUAUUGGCAACAACUAUGUGAUUCAUAAUUUAGAGCCAUAAUUUUUAAUGUGCUCUUUUCUGCCUCAGCAUGUAUAUUUCAUCCCUGUGUCUCAAUGGCCAUAAAACGCAUCCACUAGAUCUGCAUUGGGUCACGACUCACUACAAGCCCAAUGAGGAUCUCGGCAAACAGAUGCUCAGAAUUAGCAAUGACAGCUAAUUUAAGCCUUACUGUACACAUACAUUAUACUGUAAAAGAAGUCUUCACGUGACAUGUGCUACUGUAGAAUGAAGAGGCAAAUAUGGAUGAAAUUUGAGAACAUAAGCUUUUGUGAUAUUUCUGUGCCAUGCAUGGGAUUUAAUAUAUACAUUUUAACCAUGUGCAAUUUUUUCACAAGUUCAGAUACAGUGUAUUUUAGAUAAUUUGUUUAUAUGCAUACAUUUGUAUUUUCAUAUUGGCUGUCUGGGAAGUCUAAGCCAGCUACAUCUCACUUGUAAAGAUCUUCUGCAUCCUGCAGUGAAUUCUGAGUCUGUUGUUUGGCUGCUUGUUUUAUGAUUGAGUGCAUGUAAUUGAGUCAUAAGACAAGAGUGCAACCCUCGCAGUUUGAAUAAAAAUCAGUGCCUGUAUUAGGUAGUAUUUUCUAGUUUGCAUUUCAUACAUUUGAAAAAGUCAAAAUAUAAUUAAAUCUAGUGAGCAUCUUCCAACUUACAGUGAUUUGGCUUGUUCUCUGUGUUUUGUCCCAGAAGUAAAUAACUUUCAGAACUAGAAAUGCACAAAUAUGUGUGCCAGCAUCAGAUAA